This 773-nucleotide ribosomal RNA is filed under the name uncultured Neocallimastigales. Its description in RNAcentral is "partial large subunit ribosomal RNA". It matches the Rfam family "Eukaryotic large subunit ribosomal RNA", at positions 24 to 646 of the family's 3401-position model. The record is from RNAcentral. Lineage: Eukaryota; Fungi; Neocallimastigomycota; Neocallimastigomycetes; Neocallimastigales.
UAUCUCUGUAGAGUCUGCAUAUCAAUAAGCGGAGGAAAAGAAACUAACAAGGAUUCCCUUAGUAACGGCGAGUGAAGCGGGAAGAGCUCAAAUUUGAAAUCUUCAAGGUUCUACCUUGACGAAUUGUAGUUUAAAGAAGUGUUUUCUGUUAGAUGAGUAGCAAAAGUUCCUUGGAAUGGGACAUCAUAGAGGGUGAGAAUCCCGUAUUUGGUUAUUCAUUCUAGCUUUGUGAUACACUUUCAAAGAGUCGGAUUGUUUGGGAAUGCAGUCCAAAAUGGGUGGUAAAUUUCAUCUAAAGCUAAAUAUUGGCGAGAGACCGAUAGCGAACAAGUACCGUGAGGGAAAGAUGAAAAGAACUUUGAAAAGAGAGUUAAACAGUACGUGAAAUUGUCAAAAGGGAAGCGUUUGACACCAGUGUUGUUUUUCCGAAGAUCAAUUACGAAUGGCUUGAUUCUGUGUUGUAUUGACCUUAUCAGCUUUCUUCACUUUUUUCGAGUCUUUCUUAAUGCACUUUUCGGUUAACAAGUCAACAUCAAUUUCUUUUGUUGUAAAAGAGUAUUCGGAAGGUGGCUUUCUUUUCGGAGAAAGUGUUUAUAGCCCUAUACUUCUACAAUCGGAGAGAUUGAGGUCUGCAGCGUAGAUCCUUCGGGGUUAGAUACACUUGUGCUAAGUUGUAGCUUUUCAUAGACAACUUGUUGACUAUGUUUAGUCAUGCGGCUUACUCGCUUGUGCUAUUUUACCUACGCUUAGGAUGUUGACGAGACUGUCGAUCU